RNAcentral lists this ribosomal RNA (462 nucleotides) under uncultured bacterium. Its description in RNAcentral is "partial 16S ribosomal RNA". It matches the Rfam family "Bacterial small subunit ribosomal RNA", at positions 28 to 507 of the family's 1533-position model. The record is from RNAcentral.
GACGAACGCUGGCGGCGUGCUUAACACAUGCAAGUCGAACGGUGAAGCCCUUCGGGGUGGAUCAGUGGCGAUCGGGUGCGUGACACGUGCGCAACCUUCACCUGGCCCUGGGACAAGCACUGGAUACGGUAGCUAAUACUGGUUCCGCCCCGCAUCGGCUUCUGCAGUGGGUGGGAAGGUUUUCGGCUGGGGAUGGGCUCGCGGCCUAUCAGCUUGUUGGUGAGGUUGAGGCUCACCAAGGCGACGACGGGUAGCCGGCCUGAGAGGGCGACCGGCCACACUGGGACUGAGACACGGCCCAGACUCCUACGGGAGGCAGCAGUGGGGAAUAUUGCACAAUGGGCGAAAGCCUGAUGCAGCGACGCCGCGUGAGGGAUGACGGCCUUCGGGUUGUAAACCGCUUUCAGCUCCGAAGAAGCGAAAGUGACGGUAGGAGCAGAAGAAGCACCGGCUAACUACGUG